Molecule: ribosomal RNA, 369 nt
Filed under: uncultured bacterium
Lineage: Bacteria
Description: bacterial SSU rRNA
Rfam family: Bacterial small subunit ribosomal RNA
Source: RNAcentral
GUAGGCAGCGAGCGUUGUUCGGAGUUACUGGGCGUAAAGGGUGUGUAGGCGGUUCUUUAAGUUUGGUGUGAAAUCUCCCGGCUCAACCGGGGGGGUGCGCCGAAUACUGAGGGACUAGAGUACGGGAGAGGAAAGUGGAAUUCCUGGUGUAGCGGUGAAAUGCGUAGAUAUCAGGAGGAACACCGGUGGUGUAGACGGCUUUCUGGACCGCCACUGACGCUGAGACACGAAAGCGUGGGUAGCAAACAGGAUUAGAUACCCUGGUAGUCCACGCCCUAAACGAUGCAUAUUUGGUGUAGGUCAUUCAGUUGAUCUGUGCCGGAGCUAACGCGUUAAAUAUGCCGCCUGGGGAGUACAGUCGCAAGGCUG